GACGAACGCUGGCGGCGUGCUUAACACAUGCAAGUCGAACGGAAAGGCCUUUUCGGAGGUACUCGAGUGGCGAACGGGUGAGUAACACGUGGGUGAUCUGCCCUGCACUCUGGGAUAAGCCUGGGAAACUGGGUCUAAUACCGGAUAGGACCGCACUUUAGUGUGUGUGGUGGAAAGUUUUUUCGGUGUAGGAUGAGCCCGCGGCCUAUCAGCUUGUUGGUGGGGUAAUGGCCUACCAAGGCGGCGACGGGUAGCCGGACUGAGAGGUUGGUCGGCCACAUUGGGACUGAGAUACGGCCCAGACUCCUACGGGAGGCAGCAGUGGGGAAUAUUGCACAAAGGGCGCAAGCCUGAUGCAGCGACGCCGCGUGGGGGAUGACGGCCUUCGGGUUGUAAACUCCUUUCGCCAGGGACGAAGCGUUUUGUGACGGUACCUGGAGAAGAAGCACCGGCUAACUACGUG
Molecule: ribosomal RNA, 463 nt
Filed under: uncultured bacterium
Lineage: Bacteria
Description: partial 16S ribosomal RNA
Rfam family: Bacterial small subunit ribosomal RNA
Source: RNAcentral